Molecule: ribosomal RNA, 269 nt
Filed under: uncultured prokaryote
Description: partial 16S ribosomal RNA
Rfam family: Bacterial small subunit ribosomal RNA
Source: RNAcentral
UACGUAGGAGGCAAGCGUUAUCCGGAUUUACUGGGCGUAAAGAGGAUGUAGGCGGCCUUUCAAGUCGGAUGUGAAAUCUCCCAGCUUAACUGGGAGAGGUCAUUCGAUACUGUUGGGCUAGAGGACAGCAGAGGGAAGCGGAACUCCCGGUGUAGUGGUGGAAUGCGUAGAUAUCGGGAGGAACACCAGUGGCGAAGGCGGCUUCCUGGGCUGCCCCUGACGCUGAGAUCCGACGGCGUGGGUAGCAAACAGGAUUAGAUACCCCCGUA